UUUGUUAAUGACUAGUUUAGUGGAAAUGUCUAACUACUAAUAAGUUGUCUGGGUUCGCUCUUAAUAUGAAAGAUCUCAAUAUCUUUCAGUUUAAUAAUUUGGAGGCAAAUUAACCUAUUAAGAAGUGAAUUAUAAACCUAAAAAAAAGUAAGUCAUAGAAUAAGAAUAAAAUUAAGUCCUUAUGUGGGAAAGGGAGUUUGUACAAGACUCCAAAGAACACUCUAAAUGUAAGAUUCAUUACUAAUUUAAAAAUGAGUAUUCUAUUCUAAAAUUUCUUUUUUUAUUUCCUUAUUGGAGGAAAGAAUUAUGAGUGAUCUAGUAGUAAUUUCUAAGAUUGUAAGAUAAUAGGAGUAUAGUUCUACACCACACCUACCACCAAAUUCCUGCGUUCCUACGCCCUCCUGAUAACCACUCCAGUUCUCCUAAUAUCUUAGAGAGAGUUUAGUUAACUUUUCUAUUUGAAAAUUCAUAUGUUCCAAUUCUCUAUAUUGCACAUAUGAAUGAUACCAUCCAGUAGUUAUCUUCCAUUUCCUUCCUUCACUAAGCAUAAUCAGCUCCAGUACUAUCUACUUUGUCCUAAAGGACACAAUGUUAUUUUUUCUAAUUGUCUUGGUCAGCUUUUUCAAUGAGAGUGUAAAGGGGAAAAGUAAAUGUAGAAAGAAAAAAAAAAAAAAAAAGCAAAUGUAGCACAUUUCUUUAACUUGCAGAAACAUGUUUUCCAAUGACAUCUAAAAUCUAUAACUCUUUCAUAUAUCAUAAAAUCUAGAUUCCAAUCCCAUGGUGACCCAGCAGUGGCUUUUACUUUGUGAUCAAAAAUUAUUACACAAACACAUGCAUGGAGGCAUUAUUCUUAAUAAUACUUCUGAAAAUGUCUUUACCCAAAUUUGGCCAAUUUUUGUAAUGGGACUAAUAACUGAGCUUCAGCUAAUAAGGGGAAAGAAGAAGGAAAAUCAUUUUAAUCCUGAAAAUGAGAUUCCUAAAGACAUACUGACUACAAAACUGGGAGACUUGAGUGGUGGUGCGCCGGUUGAAUUCACAUAUUAUCUUGUGCAAGGACCUGGGUUCAAGCACUUUCUCCCACCUGCGUUGGGGGGGGAAGCUUAACAAGCAGGAAGUAGGUCUGUUGAUGUCUCUCUCUCUCUCUCUCUCUCUCCCUCUCCCUCUCCCUCUCCCUCUACCUCUCCCUUUCUCUCUCCCUCUCUUUCUCUCUCACCUCUGCUUUCAAUUUAUAUCUGUCCUAUCUAAUAAAAAAAAAAAGGAUAAAAAUGAUUCCUAGGAGUGGUGGAUUCAUUGUACAGGCACUGAGCCUCAGUGAUAACCCUGGUAGCAAAUUAUAUAUACAAUUUAUAUAUUUAUAAAUAAAUUUUAUCUACAUACUAUAAGUUUAUAUUAAUAUAUACAAAAUGCAAUGGAAAAUUACUGUUAUUAUUUUUUGUAAAGUCUGAGUGACUUUGGUGAUACAUUCAAAGUUGAAUCAUUUAAAGAUUUACCAGUGGUUGAAGUUGAAGUCAGAGAGAUUUUACAAAACUACCCAGCCUUCUUUGUUACAUAAUAUACUUACGCUUCAAAAAAGUCAAGCACAUUUUUUCUUGAUCUUUCUUAAAAUAGUCUUUUAGACACCAGAAUUAAAAUACAGCUGAUUGGAUUAACAUAAUUAGAAUAAUUGAAAACUGAAAUGGACAAAGUGUUAGCAUUGCUAAGGUAAUUUUGCUAAAUAAAGGAACAUUUAUCCCUUCCUUUGAUAAA
Long non-coding RNA from Erinaceus europaeus (western European hedgehog), 1746 nucleotides. RefSeq lists it as uncharacterized. The transcript has 2 exons. Lineage: Eukaryota; Metazoa; Chordata; Mammalia; Eulipotyphla; Erinaceidae. The record is from RefSeq and is a predicted model, not a curated record.